GUAAGUUCCUUCUUUCAAUCGCUUGUUCAUUUCUGUUUCCACGAGAUGAGCUAUAAGUUUCUCGGUCUCAAUCUGUGAUAGCUGAGCAGAGUCAUCUGAUUCUGGGUGUAGGAGAAGCUGCUUUCUGAUAAAAUGCGGCAAAAAUUCGAAAAGUGCAGAAGCCCAUGGUGAUAGUUGAGAGGAAAUGUUAUCAGCAGAAACACCUUGCCUGAGUAAACCAUGAAUUUCCUGCAAUAGAGCAUAUAUUUCAGGAAUACUUUCAAUAAGCCCUUCAGGCAACAGGAUGACACCAUGAUUUUUAUCAUGUUCAGCCCUAGCCUGAACUGCAUCACAAAUUUGUUGUGUGAUGUCAAAAAUAGUAAGCUUUGAUGCAGCUACCUCCUCUCCAAGAAUCACCAUAUUAGGAUGUGACUGCAGA
Molecule: unclassified non-coding RNA, 418 nt
Filed under: Hevea brasiliensis (rubber tree)
Lineage: Eukaryota; Viridiplantae; Streptophyta; Magnoliopsida; Malpighiales; Euphorbiaceae
Source: RNAcentral